UCUCUCUCUCUCUCUCUCUGUUUGCUCUCUCAAAAUAGAGGGAAGGGUGGCUUCCUAAACAAUAUCAGAAACAGCUUUCAGAGUUAUGCAGUGUGGCAGUUUCAGGCUUGUGCCAAUGGAGAACUGCAUGCUUCUAGGAUACAGAGACGAGAGAAGCAAAACUUAUGGGGAUUCUUCAUCCAAAGAACUUAAAAUUGGAGCCAAUUCAUAUCAACAGAGAUGGGGAGAGAACACUCCGUGAAUUAACGUUACAGUGCUCGGACCAGGAAGGUCCUGUGACACCUUCUGAAUCACCAAGUAAGACCCAAGUGCUCUCUGUAAAAUAUGUCACAGAUAACUAAAGAUAAAGCUAAUGGCAAAAGGGUAGAAAAAAAUGGCCUAUUUACUAGUGAGUAGUAGUUGGGGGUGUGGGCCAAUUAAAGGAAGUAAGAAAGAAGUACAGUCACUAAUGUGUGUGUAACACAUGAUGAUCUUUGUGUAGAAGAAUCAUCUAACAAUGGAGUCUCAGUUGGCAGAGAUAAGAGGGAAGAAGCUCACGAAGCCAUAUGAAUAGCUGUAGUUAGAGCUCAGUACUAGCAUGAAUUGGACCAAAUCUUAAGAGAACAAUGAAAACAGGCUUUGGAGUCAGGCAAAACUAAAAUAGCCAGAUUUACUUUGUGGCUUACACUUAGAAAAACAAAAACAAUCUCAGAAUUUUUUUUUUUUUUUUUGGGAGGAGGAAGCACAAAAGAACACUUAAUUCCCACAUAUGGAUAAAGAAAGUAAAAAUGUCUUAGAAAUGGGUAGCCUUUAACAAUAACUUUCAGAAUUAGAUCAAACAUAAAGCUCUGGGUUCAAUCUCAAGCCAAGGAAAG
RNAcentral lists this long non-coding RNA (854 nucleotides) under Mus musculus (house mouse). RNAcentral describes it as "long non-coding RNA chr2:44326208-44327062". Lineage: Eukaryota; Metazoa; Chordata; Mammalia; Rodentia; Muridae. The record is from RNAcentral.